This is an RNA transcript of Stegodyphus dumicola, 325 nucleotides long. RefSeq lists it as uncharacterized. The record is from RefSeq and is a predicted model, not a curated record. Lineage: Eukaryota; Metazoa; Arthropoda; Arachnida; Araneae; Eresidae.
GCAACACAAAAUAUAAAGACCCAGUUCUCAAACUCAGAUAGACACUUUUAUUUAGGGUAGCGAAAGCCCAGCAGCGCUCCUAAUCUCAUGUAGCUGGGGUAAAUACACUCAACAGCGCUGGGCCAUUUUCAGGGUACAUUUCGAUGCAUUGGGCUGUGCAAAUUAUUGCACUUACGAAUUAUACGCCAUAAGAAGAGCUUUUGGUGACCAGUUGCUGCCUAGUGGAAUGAAUAGCAUAUUCUUAUAUUUUCUAGAAGAUUUUUUGUUUAUUUUCUUUUCCAUUUUAUCAGAAACAAGCAUGGAAUAAAAUAGUUCUGUUUAGCUA